This is a long non-coding RNA of Gopherus flavomarginatus (Mexican gopher tortoise), 595 nucleotides long. RefSeq lists it as uncharacterized. The transcript is spliced from 3 exons. The record is from RefSeq and is a predicted model, not a curated record. NCBI's taxonomy places the organism in Eukaryota, Metazoa, Chordata, Testudines, Testudinidae.
CUUGUCUACAUCAGAAAGUUGCAGCGCUGGUGAGGGAGUUACAGCGCUGCAACUUAGGAGGUGUACACAUCUGCAGGGCACCACCAGCGCUGCAACUCCCUGUUUGCAGCGCUGGCCGUACUCCCGUUUUGUCUCGGGUGUAGAGGAUCCAGCGCUGGUGAUCCAGCGCUGGUAAUCAAGUAUAGACACUUACCAGCGCUUUUCUUGACCUCCGUGGAAUAAGCAGGUAUCCCAGCAUACCUGAGGAAGCCUCUGGUAAUCAAGCUGGUCUCCUUCCCCGGUUUGCUCUCGCGUUCCCGGAACCCCGAGCAAGCAGGUCUCCUUCCCUGCGGUUUGCAGGGUGGUUCGGGGAACGCGAGAGCAAACCGCGGCGAAGCUGGUCUCCUUUCCCGGUUUGCUCUCUCGUUCCCCGAACCCCCGAGCAAGCAGGUCUCCUUCCCUGCGGUUUGCAGGGUGGUUCGGGGAACGCGAGAGCAAACCGCAGCGAAGCUGGUCUCCUUUCCCGGUUUGCUCUCUCGUUCCCCGAACCCCCGAGCAAGCAGGUCUCCUUCCCUGCGGUUUGCAGGGUGGUUCGGGGAACGCGAGAGCAAACCGG